UACAGAGGGGGCAAGCGUUGUUCGGAAUUACUGGGCGUAAAGGGCGCGUAGGCGGCCGCCUAAGUCAGACGUGAAAUCCCUCGGCUCAACCGGGGAACUGCGUCUGAUACUGGGUGGCUUGAGUUUGGGAGAGGGACGCGGAAUUCCAGGUGUAGCGGUGAAAUGCGUAGAUAUCUGGAGGAACACCGGUGGCGAAGGCGGCGUCCUGGACCAACACUGACACUGAGGAGCGAAAGCCAGGGGAGCAAACGGG
This 253-nucleotide ribosomal RNA is filed under the name uncultured bacterium. RNAcentral describes it as "partial 16S ribosomal RNA". It matches the Rfam family "Bacterial small subunit ribosomal RNA", at positions 524 to 776 of the family's 1533-position model. The record is from RNAcentral.